CCUACGGGGGGCAGCAGUGGGGAAUAUUGGACAAUGGGGGCAACCCUGAUCCAGCCAUGCCGCGUGUGUGAAGAAGGCCCUCGGGUUGUAAAGCACUUUCAGUGAGGAAGAACGCCUGGUGGUUAAUACCCAUCAGGAAAGACAUCACUCACAGAAGAAGCACCGGCUAACUCCGUGCCAGCAGCCGCGGUAAUACGGAGGGUGCGAGCGUUAAUCGGAAUUACUGGGCGUAAAGCGCGCGUAGGUGGCUUGAUAAGCCGGUUGUGAAAGCCCCGGGCUCAACCUGGGAACGGCAUCCGGAACUGUCAAGCUAGAGUGCAGGAGAGGAAGGUAGAAUUCCAGGUGUAGCGGUGAAAUGCGUAGAGAUCGGGAGGAAUACCAGUGGCGAAGGCGGCCUUCUGGACUGACACUGACACUGAGGUGCGAAAGCGUGGGUAGCAAACAGGAUUAGAUACCCGAGUAGUC
Molecule: ribosomal RNA, 465 nt
Filed under: Vreelandella stevensii
Lineage: Bacteria; Pseudomonadati; Pseudomonadota; Gammaproteobacteria; Oceanospirillales; Halomonadaceae
Description: partial 16S ribosomal RNA
Rfam family: Bacterial small subunit ribosomal RNA
Source: RNAcentral